UGGGGAAUAUUGCACAAUGGGCGAAAGCCUGAUGCAGCAACGCCGCGUGAACGAUGAAGGCCUUCGGGUCGUAAAGUUCUGUCCUCAAGGAAGAUAAUGACGGUACUUGAGGAGGAAGCCCCGGCUAACUACGUGCCAGCAGCCGCGGUAAUACGUAGGGGGCUAGCGUUAUCCGGAUUUACUGGGCGUAAAGGGUGCGUAGGCGGUUUUUUAAGUCAGAAGUGAAAGGCUACGGCUUAACCGUAGUAAGCUUUUGAAACUGGAGAACUUGAGUGCAGGAGAGGAGAGUGGAAUUCCUAGUGUAGCGGUGAAAUGCGUAGAUAUUAGGAGGAACACCAGUAGCGAAGGCGGCUCUCUGGACUGUAACUGACGCUGAGGCACGAAAGCGUGGGGAGCAAACAGG
This 403-nucleotide ribosomal RNA is filed under the name Peptoclostridium sp. Its description in RNAcentral is "bacterial SSU rRNA". It matches the Rfam family "Bacterial small subunit ribosomal RNA", at positions 355 to 776 of the family's 1533-position model. Lineage: Bacteria; Bacillati; Bacillota; Clostridia; Peptostreptococcales; Peptoclostridiaceae. The record is from RNAcentral. RNAcentral also lists the same sequence under 1 other name.